This 427-nucleotide ribosomal RNA is filed under the name uncultured bacterium. Its description in RNAcentral is "partial 16S ribosomal RNA". It matches the Rfam family "Bacterial small subunit ribosomal RNA", at positions 355 to 774 of the family's 1533-position model. The record is from RNAcentral.
UGGGGAAUAUUGCACAAUGGGCGCAAGCCUGAUGCAGCCAUGCCGCGUGUAUGAAGAAGGCCUUCGGGUUGUAAAGUACUUUCAGCGGGGAGGAAGGGAGUAAAGUUAAUACCUUUGCUCAUUGACGUUACCCGCAGAAGAAGCACCGGCUAACUCCGUGCCAGCAGCCGCGGUAAUACGGAGGGUGCAAGCGUUAAUCGGAAUUACUGGGCGUAAAGCGCACGCAGGCGGUUUGUUAAGUCAGAUGUGAAAUCCCCGGGCUCAACCUGGGAACUGCAUCUGAUACUGGCAAGCUUGAGUCUCGUAGAGGGGGGUAGAAUACCAGGUGUAGCGGUGAAAUGCGUAGAGAUCUGGAGGAAUACCGGUGGCGAAGGCGGCCCCCUGGACAAAGACUGACGCUCAGGUGCGAAAGCGUGGGGAGCAAACA